UGGCUAGACGAUUCUGCGACGUCGCCACUUUAGUUCUCAAUCAGGGGUUCUCCCAAGAGCCAGCGCCUCUGGCGGCAAGUCCGUGAUGUGCAGUCCAGACAGUUCCUGUUCCUGUCGACUGCAGGCUCCAACUUGAUCCUGCCUUCCGUUGCGACGUUCAAGUUUUGACUUGGUACAGCGAAUAAACUUGUUCAUCCCGACGAAGAUUUUAUGACCAAAAUAUUCCUGGAGGUUAAAUUAUUUUAUCUGAGUAAAAUAUUCACGGUCUACGAUUGAAAGCUCGUUCACGUUUCUCGCCACACAAGACGUCAACAGGCCGUUACUAAGAGACAGUCGACGCAGUACAACAAUGCUCUGACGUCACGUCUCGCAGUUUACACUUCCAACAAUCAGUUUGCUCACCAAGGUAUGCACUGUCGUAGCGGAAUAACGAUCCUGUACCAACUGCAUCAGCUACUUAACAUCGUAUAAUAAGAGAACGUUAAUCUCGUUCGGUGAAAUUGAAAGGCUUCGACUUAAAUCGUUCCUUCGUUGGCUUUUUCAAGGCGGACUACGCACUGCGAGGUAGAGCCACUAUGAAACCCGUCGUUUAGAGUAGGCGACCGGUUUAAAUCGGCCACGUCCAGAAGCAUUGCCGAAUUUAGAAUCCAGCGGUCUGUGUGUCAGCGCCCAGAAGGGGUGUCCAAUAGCCAUUUCUCGCACCGAUGCAUUUUCGCUGCUGAACACGCGUUUCGUGGUUGGCUUCACGCACGUUUCUGGACGCCGUUUAAAAUGGAGAGUGCGUUAAACUUAAAAGUAAUGAAUGAUUCUUCUCACGGCCAAGUUUGAGUUUUCGUUCGUUGUUGAAUUUCGAUGAGACCGACGCCGAGUGCUUAAUUCGCGCUCUUUCAGUGAUCACACCGACGCGUGUUAAUUAAUUGCAUUGUUUUUGUACCUGGUAAAUAAAAAGAAUAAAAGUACUGGAGAGGACUGAGAAACGACACUUGAAGAGGAAUUGAAAAUCCCCAACUGCAUCUCCCAGUGGCAACGCCAAUAGGGGCAGAUUGAGGAAUCGUCCAUAGAAACGUCUCUACCGCGAUUUGGGUCUCUGUUGUGUGCUCCUGCCGUUUCUAUGGACGAUUCCUCAAUCUGCCCCAACUUAAUUUUUGGCCCAGGAAAUCAUAAAGGAAAGUUCUUUCAUCACCACAAGAGACACAGUCACAAGCCAUGAGCAAUAUCUAUGCCGGACCUAACCUAACAACUACAACAAACACACACAUGUGAAGGCGCUUUCAUAUUAUCAAUACGUGGAAUAUGGACCUCUGUUACAGACAUGUGCUCGAUCAUCUCUCUUCUCCUGGGCUGGGUUAUCAUUUUUAUCGGUGUUUUUGCUCGGUGCCUUGUGAAAGAGUUUUUUUCAAAAGCAGGGAUGCUGAUUACUGAGCGUCGGAAUAGAUUGAGCAGCAAAGAAGCAAAAAUGCUUGUUUUUUUGAAUUGUAACCUGGGGAAUGUUAGUUACUUCUGUUAUUUUCUUGCAUGCAC
This is a non-coding RNA of Zootermopsis nevadensis, 1521 nucleotides long. The record is from RefSeq and is a predicted model, not a curated record. NCBI's taxonomy places the organism in Eukaryota, Metazoa, Arthropoda, Insecta, Blattodea, Termopsidae.